This is a long non-coding RNA of Photinus pyralis (common eastern firefly), 1085 nucleotides long. RefSeq lists it as uncharacterized. The record is from RefSeq and is a predicted model, not a curated record. The transcript has 4 exons. NCBI's taxonomy places the organism in Eukaryota, Metazoa, Arthropoda, Insecta, Coleoptera, Lampyridae.
AGUUACGCGUAAUAUAACCGUUUUUUUAUGUAACUUAUAAAUCGUUAUUUUACAAUCCACAUCACUAAUUAUACCGCAUCAUUAAAUCCGCUGAGAAAAUGUAUGCAGGUUUGUAUGCUAAUUAACUAACGCGUUUUUUAACACCGAAGAUAUCAAGGCUGACACCUCAAGAUUUUGUUCCAUUCAAAAUGAUCACUUCGAUGGUACUCUUAGCAAUUGGUAGUGCGCGAUGGAUGACAUCGGCCCACUCGUUUAGGGUUGCGAAUAAAAUUGCCUUGGUGACGGGUGGCACCAGAGGCAUCGGGUUUGAUGUCGCGGGUGAACUUUUGAAAAACGGCGCCAAGGGGGUUAGUUUGGUGGCGGUUAACGCCAACAGAGGUCGUGAUCAAUAAUGCUGGCAUUUCCAAUGAAACGAACUGGAAGGGUGUAAUCGACACGAACGUGUACGGUACUCUGCAGGGAACUCUUCUGGGUUUUCAAUACACCAUCACGCGGUUCGCGUUGUUAGAGUCUGUCCGGGACCGACCAAGACGCAACUACUCAGUGAUGUCGAGACGCUUACCAAUACUCUGGCUCCUAACACGUCGGCGUUAACAACCGAAUUUCUAAGUCGGUUAGCGUUCCAGUCGACAAGGCACGUUGCAAAAACUAUUUGUGCCGUUAUCAAGAAUGGAAGUAACGGUAGCAUCUGGGUAAUCGAUGGUGAUGGUAAUCCGUCCUUUGAGGUGGAGUUUCCUGGAGCGAAGGCUAUGAAAAAACCCAACUGAAUGUACCUGGAGGCUGUCAUGACCGUGUAAUAGAAUAACACCAUCUUCUAAGUUACAAGAGGCACACAGGAAUUAUUUUUACUCUUCGAUUUUGUUUAUCUCUAAUCCAAACUGUGUUUUUGUAAAACAACUAUCUAGCAGUUUACCUCGAACCUUAAAGGUUUGAAGUUCAGAUUGAAGUGAGGUGGGGGAAGAUGUAUAACCAAAUUUGCAGCGUAUUGUUUUAAAAUUGCAGCGCAUUGUUCCAUUUUUGCUUGCGAUUUGUUUCCAAUACUGGCGUUUGUUUAUGAAUAAAGCUUUGGCUUAAGUUGACGAGAA